RNAcentral lists this non-coding RNA (96 nucleotides) under bovine gut metagenome. Its description in RNAcentral is "SAM riboswitch (S box leader)". It matches the Rfam family "SAM riboswitch aptamer (S box leader)". Rfam says of the family: The SAM riboswitch is found upstream of a number of genes which code for proteins involved in methionine or cysteine biosynthesis in Gram-positive bacteria. The SAM riboswitch acts at the level of transcription termination control. RNAcentral also lists the same sequence under 1 other name. The record is from RNAcentral.
CUUAUCCGGAGUGACUGAGGGAACAGGCCCUGUGAAGUCCGACAACCUGCCGAUGAGGUAAGGUGCCAAAUCCUGCGGUGUAGCCGAAAGAUGAGU